UUUUAUUUCCUCGUUGUAACGACAAAAUGUGUUUUAUUAGUUGAUUUUAUGUGUUACAGCGUUCAACACACACAAUGCAAAAGGGCAUUUGAUGUAAAAAAAUUUAAAAAAAUGAAAAAUAAGUAAUUGAAACUGAAAAUCAGAAAGUAUUAAAUCACUCAGCAUUAGUAGUCGGCCUGGAACACACCCGUAAUCUGACAGGACUACGACACAGGCUUGGUAGUCGGCCUGGAACACACCCGUAAUCUGACAGGACUACGACACAGGCUUGGUAGUCGGCCUGGAACACACCCGUAAUCUGACAGGACUACGACACAGGCUUGGUAGUCGGCCUGGAACACACCCGUAAUCUGACAGGACUACGACACAGGCUUGGUAGUCGGCCUGGAACACAUGUCAAAAAUGUUAUAAAAUGAUUUGCAUUUUAAUGAGGGAAAUAAGUAUUUGACCCCCUCUCAAUCAGAAAGAAUUCUGGCUCCCAGGUGUCUUUUAUACAGGUAACGAGCUGAGAUUAGGAGCACACUCUUAAAGGGAGAAUGUGUGUGUGUGUGAGUUCUAGAACGCGUGUGAGAGUUCUAGAAUGCGUGUGUGUGAGUUCUAGAAUGUGCGUGUGUGAGUUCUAGAAUGCGUGUGAGAGUUCUAGAAUGCGUGUGUGAGUUCUAGAAUGCGCGUGUGUGAGUUCUAGAAUGUGCGUGUGUGAGUUCUAGAAUGCGUGUGUGAGUUCUAGAAUGCGUGUGAGAGUUCUAGAAUGCGUGUGAGAGGUCUAGAAUGCGUGUGAGAGGUCUAGAAUGCGUGUGUGAGUUCUAGAAUGCGUGUGAGAGGUCUAGAAUGCGUGUGUGAGUUCUAGAAUGCGUGUGAGAGGUCUAGAAUGCGUGUGUGAGUUCUAGAAUGCGUGUGAGAGG
RNAcentral lists this long non-coding RNA (902 nucleotides) under Salmo salar (Atlantic salmon). RNAcentral's name for it is "lncRNA (ENSSSAG00000096242.1)". The record is from RNAcentral. Lineage: Eukaryota; Metazoa; Chordata; Actinopteri; Salmoniformes; Salmonidae.